Molecule: ribosomal RNA, 102 nt
Filed under: uncultured bacterium
Lineage: Bacteria
Description: partial 16S ribosomal RNA
Rfam family: Bacterial small subunit ribosomal RNA
Source: RNAcentral
UAGGGAAUUUUCGUCAAUGGGGGCAACCCUGAACGAGCAAUGCCGCGUGAGCGAAGAAGGUCUUCGGAUUGUAAAGCUCUGUUGCCGGGGAAAAAGAGGAAA